This 103-nucleotide transfer RNA is filed under the name Candidatus Woesearchaeota archaeon. RNAcentral's name for it is "tRNA-Pro". It matches the Rfam family "tRNA". From Rfam's summary of the family: Transfer RNA (tRNA) molecules are approximately 80 nucleotides in length. Their secondary structure includes four short double-helical elements and three loops (D, anti-codon, and T loops). The record is from RNAcentral. Lineage: Archaea; Nanobdellati; Candidatus Woesearchaeota.
GGGGCUGUAGUGUAACUUGGAGAAUGCGCCGGCGCGGCCAUUCGGGGAACUAUCACUCCACCUUCGGGAGGUGGCAAUGGGGGUUCGAAUCCUCCCAGCCCCA